Molecule: long non-coding RNA, 201 nt
Filed under: Lathyrus oleraceus (garden pea)
Lineage: Eukaryota; Viridiplantae; Streptophyta; Magnoliopsida; Fabales; Fabaceae
Description: Pisum sativum (pea) long non-coding RNA (PSAT_LNC006513)
Source: RNAcentral
CACAUAAUUUCCUAUUUUCUAUUUUUUUAUUUUUAAUUGUUUUAUUUCUUUUAAUUCCAUUUCUCUUUAAAAAUUCAUAUCUCUCUCAUUAUUGGUCCAAAAAAUAUGAGACAAAUUUCAUUUUUCUCCAUUUAAUUUCUAGUUUCUAAAAAUGAUUUUUAAUAUUUUUUAUUUUAUCAUUUGAUAUUUUUUAGUAAUUUU